RNAcentral lists this ribosomal RNA (443 nucleotides) under uncultured bacterium. Its description in RNAcentral is "partial 16S ribosomal RNA". It matches the Rfam family "Bacterial small subunit ribosomal RNA", at positions 338 to 795 of the family's 1533-position model. The record is from RNAcentral.
CCUACGGGAGGCAGCAGUGGGGGAUAUUGGACAAUGGGGGGAACCCUGAUCCAGCGACGCCGCGUGAGUGAAGAAGUAUUUCGGUAUGUAAAGCUCUGUCAGCAGGGAAGAAAGAAAUGACGGUACCUGACCAAGAAGCCCCGGCUAACGACGUGCCAGCAGCCGCGGGAAUACGUAGGGGGCAAGCGUUAUCCGGAAUGACUGGGUGUAAAGGGAGCGUCGACGGUUAAGUAAGUCUGGAGUGAAAGGCCGGGGCACAACCCCGGGACUGCUCUGGAAACUAUUGAACUUGAGUGCAGGAGAGGUAAGCGGAAUUCCUAGUGUAGCGGUGAAAUGCGUAGAUAUUAGGAGGAACACCAGUGGCGAAGGCGGCUUACUGGGCUGUAACUGACGUUGAGGCUCGAAAGCGUGGGGAGCAAACAGGAUUAGAUACCCUUGUAGUC